Marmota monax (woodchuck) is the source of this 4899-nucleotide long non-coding RNA. RefSeq lists it as uncharacterized. NCBI's taxonomy places the organism in Eukaryota, Metazoa, Chordata, Mammalia, Rodentia, Sciuridae. The transcript is spliced from 3 exons. The record is from RefSeq and is a predicted model, not a curated record.
CUCUCCUUGGUAAUAGGUGCCCAGGUGGAGCUGCUGCCUGUAUAGACCUGUGCCUUGAGACAGAAGCCAGCCUCUUCGGGGAGCACUCCAAUGGCUCCCCAGAUCUGACACAUCAAGAUUAAGACCUGAGGAUUUGGAGCUGAGAGACAAGAAAGGGUUUCAUUUGCUAGGUCUGGGUGCCUAGAAGAUGACACAGAUCAAAGAAGGUCCCAGGCUACCAGGAGAAGCAAGAUAAUCAUCACCCAAGUAACAUAACUGGAGAAGAACCAGCCUAAAUCACCAGGGUAUGAAGUGGUACCCUGAAGACGGUUAAGCGUUCAAUUCAUGGUUAGCCAACUCUGUUGCUCUGGGUCUGAGAUGAUGCAAAACAUCAUGGUGGAAGGAAUUAGUGGAGGAAAGCUGUUCAACUCAGGGCAGCCAGGAAGCAAAAAGGGAGCAAGCUUCCAGGGACAGAAUAUAAACCCCAAAGGUAUGGCCCAGUAACCUAUCUGCCACACUUCAUCUGCUAAAAAUUAUCAUCCAGUGCAGUGGUCUUUUCAAAUUAUUCAUACAUCAAAUGGAUUAAUCCACCCAUUAGACCAUAGACCUCAUAAUCCAAUCACGAGCUUUUGGGGAAACCUUCCAUGUAAAACAUAAGGCAUUCAUGGAUUCUAACGGUUUCACUAGGAGCAUGGAAAAUAUGAAAAACUCACUUUAGAAUUCUCCAUUCAAAUAUAAUUUAAGAUUUUGAAAACCCAUGUCUACAGAUGAGUCCUGUUCUCUGCUAAGUUAUUCUGUGAAUAGCUAGACUUGUUUUGCAAACUGUGUGCUUCUACUUGCUUAUCUCAUGUCCUAUCAAAAGGGAGCUUGUGGGAACUGUUAGUGUUCAUGUUUUGCCUUUUCAGACUUUGAUCUGGUGGAGGAAUUCUUCUGGUGGUGAACACCACAAAAGAAAGCACCUGUCUUUCUUAAGAGGUAGAGAGCAGGCCUUCAGGCUUGCAAGGGCAGCUCAUUGUAGAAGGCAGCAGCCUUAACUGGAGUGAGGAUGGAAGACACUGGAGGGGAAGAAAACAGCUCUGGAGGAGAAACAGACUUACUUUCCUUACCCAAGUGGAGGAGGUGUGUGAGGAAAAGAUGCAGGGGUGGAUGGCAGGGUCCAGGCAAGAACCGAAGCCCAGAGGUAAAGCUAUUGCAGAGGCUGUUGGUGACACUGGUGCUUUGACGGGCUGAGCAAGUCCCUGGCCCUCUGUGAGCUGGGGCAAAGCUUACAUGUGACUGUUUUCACAGCACAAUGCCCAGUAAGUUUUGCUCAGUGGGGUUUUCUGUUCAGAAACCUCCUUUCAAAUUGCUGUUAGCUCCUGGGCUGACCAGGUGCCAGUGGUGUGGUGGAGGAGGCCCCACCUGGAACUCUGGUGUGGAAGGAGGAGACUGUGUUUUCAGUUUCUGGGACUUGAUGGUUUUCUGAGAACAUGGUGUCAUCAAAUCCUCUUUAGAGGUUUUCACACGACCUUUCUGAGGGCAUGAUUUGAACUAAACACAAGACUCAAACUAAUUGGACUGUUUUAAAGUGAUUGGUCUGCAGUAUCUCUGAGGUUUAUCUGGCGGUUAUGUUGUUCGUGCAACAUGGCUGGUGAGCAACUGCUUCAAGUCCUGAGAGAUGGGAGAGAGACUGCGCCUUUCCAGAGGCUGCAGGAUGAGUUCAGACCACCCAGACACUGGAGCACACAGAGAAUAAAAAUAUUUAGGGCAGAUUUUGACAUGGUAAACCAUGUUCAAGCAUCACAAUCUUGCUUAUGUUUAUACUGCCCAAAGACUUCGAUUCUAUUCCAUUUCCCCCCAUUUCCUAAAUGCAUCAUUAAAAUGACAAAAUUUGGCUUCACUUGAAACCAAGACUAGACCUUUAGAAUCUCUGAGUUUGAAGCAAACUUGAAUAAAGCAGUUUUAACUUCCACUUAAUAUAAACAUCAUGUUUUGCUCCUGUUCAAGCCAAAUAUUCCCUCCUUUUUAAAAAUCUGCAUGGACAAACUCUUACUAGCUCUAUCCAUAAAUAUUGAACACUUGAGUGUGUCAGAACACCAUGUCCUCUGGUACUUGUGCAUACAGGUUUACAAGCCUUAUGUCACACAAACUUAGGUUACAACAUUAUCUCCUUAAGGGACUGGAGUCUUUCCUUCCCUCUUUGUCUACCCCCCAAAUUACAUUAAUGAGGAUGAGGGACAAGUGGGGAGAGAAGCUAAGUCAGCGUGAUGCCCCAGGCCUUUGACAGCAAUUAUCACUCUUGUCCUGCUCCCUAAUAGAAAUAGAAAUAUCAGCUCCCCAAAGAUGCCUGCCUGCCUUUCAGGCAAGAGACUUUCUGGGUCCAGAGAAAUAGGGCAGGGGACAGUUAGAAUGGCCGUGGGUUCUUCCCCACUAGUUCUACAGUACUAGUUCUUCCUCACUAGUUCUACUGUACUAGUUCUACAGUAGAAAAGUUUCUUGAAGAAAAAGUGUCUGAACAUAGAAGUGCUUCCGGCUCAGAAAUUGCUUCCAUUUUCACUUUUCAGAUAGGAAUACAGCAGUAAAAAAGAAAAGUCAGUCAACAGAGGCUUUUGUCUUGUUCUUCUUGUCCUUGGCCCUUAAGUGAUGGUAAGACAAGUUCCCAUAUUAUUAAAAGGAAGCUGUAGAGGAUAUAUGUGAAUAUUUAGGUAAAACACUUUUAAAAUUUAUUUAUUUAUUUUAAUUAGGUGUAUAUGACAGUAGAAUGCAUUUUGAUUCAUUGUACACAAUUGCAGCACAACUUUUCAUUUCUCUGAUUGUACACAAAGUAGCGUCACAGCAUAUGUGCAGUCAUUACCUAGGGUAAUAAUGUCUAUCUCAUUCUACCAUCUUUCCUGCCCCCAUACUCCCUCCCCUUUCCUCCCUCACCUUUGCCCAAUCAGAGUUCCUUCAUUUUCCCCAUGCCCUUCCCCACCAUUAUGGAUGAUAAGCAUCCACUUAUCAGAGAGAACAUUGGCCUUUGGUUUUUGGGGAUUGGCUUACUUCACUUAGCAUGAUAUUCUCUAACCCCAUCCAUUUACCUGCAAAUGCCAUAAUUUUAUUCUCUUUUAAUGCUGAGUAAUAUUCCAUUGUGUACAUAUACUACAGUUUCUUUAUCCAUUUGUCUGUUGAAGGGCAUCUGUGAAUUGAGCUGCUGUGAUGUGGCUGCAUUACUAUGAUAUGCUGAUUUUAAGUCCUUUGGGUAUAUAUAGAUGAGUGGGAUAGCUGGGUCAAAUGGAAGUUCCAUUCCAAAUUUGCUGAGGAAUCUCCAUACUGCUUUCCAAACUGGUUGCACCAGUUUGCAGCCCCAGCAGCAAUGUAUGAGUGUGCCUUUUCCCCCAUAUCCUUGUCAGCACUUACUGUUAUUUGUAUUCUUGGUAGCUGCUGUUCUGACUGGUGUGAGAAAAAAUCUUAGAGUAGUUUUGAUUUGCAUUUCUCUGACUACUAGAGAUGUUGAAUAUCUUUUCAUACAUUUAUUGAUCAAUUGUAUAUCUUCUGAGAAGUGUCUGUUUAGCUCCUUAGCCCAUUUAUUGAUUGGGUUGUUGGUUUUUUUGGUGUUUUUUGAAUAUUUUAGAUUAGUGCUCUAUCUGAUGUGCGUAAGGCAAAAUUUUCUCCCAGAAUGUAGGCUCUCUCUUCACCUCAUUGAUUGUUUCUUUUGCUGAGAAGAAGCUUUUUUGUUUAAAUUCAUCCCAUUUAUUAAUUAUUGAUUUUAUUUCUUGUGAUUUAGGAGUCUUCUUAAGAAAGUUGGGGCUUAAUCUGGUGUGAUGAAGAUUUGGGCCUACUUUUUCCUCUAUUGGGCUCAUUCUGGUCUAAUACCUAGGUCCUUGAUCCACUUUGAGUUGAGUUUUGUGUAUGGUGAGAGAGAGGGGUUUAGUUUCAUUUUGAUACAUAAGGAUUUCCAGUUCUCUCAGCACCUUAGGUAAAAUUUUUAAAACCUAGAAAGAUAUUAUAAAAUACCAUUGAACACUUAAAAAAACUAAUAUAUUCUCAUGGAUAAAGAAUAUUGGUUUCCAUAGAUUGAAAAAAAAAUAUUUCCCUAAAUAAAGUGAAUUGUUUUUAUUUAAAAAUUUAGACGUAAGCCAAAAAAAAUUGCCAUCUAUGAGGGUCUGAAUUAAUUUAUAGCUCUUCUUUAUUCCCACUGCAUUUCUGCAGUAUCUCCAUCGAAGUCCUUAGCACACCUGUGCUAAUUACCCACUCAGGUCUGCCUCACGUAGGCAACCUGUACUUCUUGAUGGUUGGAGUCACAUCUUGUUAAUUCCACAAUCUCAGAAGCAGCUACUACAAUCCAACUAAUAUGCAGUACAUGCUUGUCAAAGUUUACUGAACUGCCAGGCCAGCCUCAGCAACUUAGUGAGGCCCUAAGAAACUUUGUGAGACCCCAUCUCCAAAUAAAAAAUAAAACAGGAGAGGAAUAUGGCUCAGUGGUUAAUUGCUCCUGGGUCCAAUCUCUACUACCCGUCCCCCCCCACAAAAAAAAAAAAAAGUUUACUAGACUGAAGCAAUAAUUUCCCUGCUAAUGCUGUGGCUCAUUAAAGGUCACAGCAAGGUCUGCUCUGGAGAGUGGACAAUUAUAUUUGCUAUUCCCAGGCCAGUUGGUAGUUGUUAUUAUAGAAGACACCCAUCAUUGACAUCUUCUAUAAUCUUGUGAGGAGAAAUUUAAGUUGAUUCUGAAAAGUAAACAUACAUAUUCCUUAAUGCAUACAUUUAUUUAUCUAUUUAAUAAACCCAGGGCUGGGGAUGUGACUCAAACGGUAGCACGCUCGCCUGGCAUGCGUGGGUUUGAUCCUCAGCACCACAUAAAAAUAAAAUAAAGAUGUUGUGUUCACCGAAAACUAAAAAAUAAAUAUUAAAAAAAUUCUCUCUCUCUCUUUAAAAAAAUAAAAUAAAAAUAAACCCAAAAUAAAU